Molecule: long non-coding RNA, 1948 nt
Organism: Phyllostomus discolor (pale spear-nosed bat)
Lineage: Eukaryota; Metazoa; Chordata; Mammalia; Chiroptera; Phyllostomidae
Exons: 3
Source: RefSeq, a predicted model, not a curated record
CUCCUAGUCACAGCACAAUGUAAGGUGGAGUUAUCUUCAUAUAGAAAUGAAAACAAAAUAAAACAAACAAAACCCUGAGGAUCAGAGAGUUCAGAGAGUAUUUAUUUGCAAAGCUUCAACUUAAACUAAGUUCUGAUUCCAAAACCUUUGCUUUCUCCCUGUCUUAGAAUAUGAGUGAAUUUCCCUGAACAUUUAGUGUUGGUGGAAAUUACAGAGAAAUCUCAUCCAAUUUUUUUCAUUUUAUACCUUUUAUAAAGUACCAAUCUAAAUGCUUCUCAAAAAAAGGAGAAAAAUGUGCUUCAGAUGAUGAGGAAGUACUCAAUUUUUAGCAAAGUACAGAAAUAUUCUUUUGAAAUUUCCCAUUGUAUCUUGCUUCUCAAUAUAUACUUCUUAAAAUCUUCAUUCAUAUUUUAAAUGAAGGUCUAUUAAUUUCUCUUAUUUUGGCUGCAAGUUUACAUUAAAUUAUAUCAGACAAAGACUGUGGGUUUCUAGACUAAUCUAUGGUUAAACAAUAGUAUUACAUCAGAAUUUUCAGAGACUUUCACAUUAUUGCUUUCAUCAAGAUAUCAUUUCAACCCCUAGUUCAAGGGCAGUAGAUACAGGGCAAACUUUUUUCUCUGCCCCCACUACAAUUUAGCUUUGACCUCAGCAGAUGCAUUUUAGGGCAUAAGGACAAAUGAGCAGGGGUCUCAUUUAAUGAAAGGCAGAAUACUGUGAUAAAGUCCACAUGGGAUAGAAAUGGGAGGGGAGUUGACAUUUUUACAGAAUAAUGAUGAUUAAUAAAAACAGACUCUCUACUCCCCCGGUCUCAUUCUGUAUACAGAUUCAAGGCUAGGACCCAUGAUCUUCUUAAAUUUAUUGUCUAUAGACAGAAAUAUAGCAGAAGCUUUCAACACAAAUGUAUCUCAUUACAGGGGAAUUCUUAACCUUAUGAAAUGUUAACGUUAUCAAACAAAAUAGCUGAAAGAGCAGGUAACUGAGUUUUACUUAGUGGUGCAACCUCAGGCUAAGGUUGCAGGAAUUAGCAGAAUGUUUAAGGUUAAGCUGAGAAUCAGCUUUCACAAAUGUGUCCAAGACAAUACAAUAUGCACAUUUACAGAGGUUCAGACUGUGCAUUCCUUGUAUCUUAAAGUACACCCAGUUAAAACAUUUUAUAAAUUUGGUGAAGAGGGAGACAAAAGCAUGGAAUAUGUAAGAUGAAGUAACAUCCUGAAUGUGAUUUUUGUUUCUUCCACUGUAUAAUCUCAGGCCCGGUACGAAGUUCCUAUGUUGUUGAGUCCAUGCUUAGUCCCCAUCUCUUCUACCAGGGCUACUCUUCUUAAAGCCACUUUAUUGAAGAAUGGUUGCCAUAAAAAGACUGUACAUAUUUUAUGUACACAACUUGAUGAGUUUAGAGGCCCAGAUGUUCCCAGUUGGGUUUGCUGAGCUGUGACUCUGAUUACAAGUAUGCUUCACACCAGGCAAGGUGACAACACGUGCUCAAAAGGGCAAGCAUUGUCCCUUAAGGCAUUGAUUCAUUUGAGGCAUUUGUUAAUCAUCAGGCAAAGGGAAGGACUUACAAAUUCUUCCCAGGACAGUAGUAAGCUGUUUCCGCAGACCCAGAGGUGAAAUGGGGGAUUCAAGGUUCUUGAAAGCAGGGAGUGCUCUCAAGAGAAGGGAAUGAAGAAAGCAGGAUAAGACAGGGGCAGAAGGUAUAUAAUAGUGUAGUCUUAACUGAAGAUCAGCUUUGGUAUGAUCCUGUACGAAAACUCUAGACUCUGAAUCACAAAUUACAACAUACAAUAAUAUCAACAUUGUGUGCUCUCUAGGUAUCAGCAAAAAAUUUUGAUAAAAGUCUAAACAGUAAAUGUUUUAGGUUUGGGGGCUAUUCAGUACCCUUUGAAACUGCUCUGCCAUUGUGAUGUGGACAACCAUGUAUAGAUAAACCAGCAUGGCUGUAUUGCAAUAA